Molecule: ribosomal RNA, 419 nt
Filed under: bacterium
Lineage: Bacteria
Description: partial 16S ribosomal RNA
Rfam family: Bacterial small subunit ribosomal RNA
Source: RNAcentral
UGGGGGAUAUUGCACAAUGGGCGAAAGCCUGAUGCAGCGACGCCGCGUGGGGGAUGAAGGCCUUCGGGUUGUAAACUUCUUUUGCCCUGAACAAGGCGCACCAUGGGGUGUGUUGAGUGUAGGGGUUGAUUAGCGUCGGCUAACUACGUGCCAGCAGCCGCGGUAAUACGUAGGGCGCGAGCGUUGUCCGGAAUUAUUGGGCGUAAAGGGCUUGUAGGUGGCUGGUUGCGUCUGUCGUGAAAGCUCAUGGCUUAACUGUGGGUUUGCGGUGGGUACGGGCUGGCUUGAGUGCAGUAGGGGAGGCUGGAAUUCCUGGUGUAGCGGUGGAAUGCGCAGAUAUCAGGAGGAAUACCGGUGGCGAAGGCGGGUCUCUGGGCUGUUACUGACACUGAGGAGCGAAAGCAUGGGGAGCGAACAGG